This is a long non-coding RNA of Daucus carota subsp. sativus, 483 nucleotides long. RefSeq lists it as uncharacterized. NCBI's taxonomy places the organism in Eukaryota, Viridiplantae, Streptophyta, Magnoliopsida, Apiales, Apiaceae. The transcript is spliced from 3 exons. The record is from RefSeq and is a predicted model, not a curated record.
UUCCCUCAAAUUAUAAAGGACAUUGCUCGCAAAGAAGUCACUCUAAAUAUUCAGCUUAAAAGUGACAACAUACUGUUGAAUAGCAAGCUCUACUAUGCAAGUGAUGCAUUUGAGUCUGGUUAUUCUGCAACUUUAGUGGGUCAUGCACCCACUUCAACAUCUUCCGGAAUGGGCGAUAAUAUUGUAGUGGAUUUGGAUGAAUACGGAAACACUCCCGGAGACACUCCAGGCUCUUACAAGUCGUCCAACAAGAAAAUUAAGACGGAGAAGUGACAGUUUUCAUCUGCCCAGUUUGCUUCCCAAUAUUCAUGGAUGCUUGAAUUCAAUAUUAGGAAUGCGAUGAACUAUGUUUUUUCCUUUUGAAUAAGUGAUUGCAAUGCUUUGAAACAUUGUUUCUGCUAUUUUUGUUUAGGAUGAUUUAGCAAGAGGUUUACUUGGUUCUCUUUGAACUUAUGUAUUGUUUUUUAAUUCCGUAUUGACUUA